UACAGAGGUCUCAAGCGUUGUUCGGAUUCAUUGGGCGUAAAGGGUGUGUAGGUGGCGCCGUAAGUGGGGUGUGAAAUCUCGGGGCUUAACUCCGAAACUGCAUUCCAUACUGCGGUGCUUGAGGACUGGAGAGGAGACUGGAAUUCAUGGUGUAGCAGUGAAAUGCGUAGAGAUCAUGAGGAAGACCAGUGGCGAAGGCGGGUCUCUGGACAGUUCCUGACACUGAGGCACGAAGGCCAGGGGAGCAAACGGG
This 253-nucleotide ribosomal RNA is filed under the name uncultured bacterium. RNAcentral describes it as "partial 16S ribosomal RNA". It matches the Rfam family "Bacterial small subunit ribosomal RNA", at positions 524 to 776 of the family's 1533-position model. The record is from RNAcentral.